This 229-nucleotide unclassified non-coding RNA is filed under the name fungal sp. RNAcentral's name for it is "partial internal transcribed spacer region". The stretch from base 1 to 46 matches the Rfam family "Eukaryotic small subunit ribosomal RNA", at positions 1786 to 1831 of the family's 1831-position model. The record is from RNAcentral. Lineage: Eukaryota; Fungi.
AAGUCGUAACAAGGUCUCCGUUGGUGAACCAGCGGAGGGAUCAUUACAGGACUCGCAAGACUCCUUAAACCCCUGUGAACUUACUGUUUAUACGUUGCUUCGGCGGGUGCUCCGGGUCCGCCCCGGGGCGCUGCGCCCGCCGGCAGCCUACUUAAUUCUGUUUCUCUGCGUUGGCAUCUCGAGUAAGCAAAAUAAGUUAAAACUUUCAACAACGGAUCUCUUGGUUCUG